RNAcentral lists this ribosomal RNA (468 nucleotides) under uncultured bacterium. RNAcentral's name for it is "partial 16S ribosomal RNA". It matches the Rfam family "Bacterial small subunit ribosomal RNA", at positions 28 to 507 of the family's 1533-position model. The record is from RNAcentral.
GACGAACGCUGGCGGCGUGCUUAACACAUGCAAGUCGAACGGAAAGGCCCUGCUUUUGUGGGGUGCUCGAGUGGCGAACGGGUGAGUAACACGUGAGUAACCUGCCCUUGACUUUGGGAUAACUUCAGGAAACUGGGGCUAAUACCGGAUAGGAGCUCCUGCUGCCUGGUGGGGGUUGGAAAGUUUCGGCGGUUGGGGAUGGACUCGCGGCUUAUCAGCUUGUUGGUGGGGUAGUGGCUUACCAAGGCUUUGACGGGUAGCCGGCCUGAGAGGGUGACCGGGCACAUUGGGACUGAGAGAGGGCCCAGACUCCUACGGGAGACAGCAGUGGGGAAUAUGGCACAAUGGGCGGAAGCCUGAUGCAGCAACGCCGCGUGCGGGAUGACGGCCUUCGGGUUGUAAACCGCUUUCGCCUGUGACGAAGCGUGAGUGACGGUAAUGGGUAAAGAAGCACCGGCUAACUACGUG